RNAcentral lists this ribosomal RNA (118 nucleotides) under Actinidia lanceolata. Lineage: Eukaryota; Viridiplantae; Streptophyta; Magnoliopsida; Ericales; Actinidiaceae. The record is from RNAcentral.
CGGAUGCGAUCAUACCAGAACUAAUGCACCGAAUCCCAUCAGAAUUCCGCAGUUAAGCGUGCUUGGGCGGGAGCAGUACUAGGAUGGUGACCCCUUGGGAAGUCUUCGUGUUGCACCC